CUACGGGUGGCACCAGUGAGGAAUAUUGCACAAUGGGGGGAACCCUGAUGCAGCAACGCCGCGUGGAGGAUGACGCAUUUCGGUGUGUAAACUCCUUUUAUAUGUCAAGAAAAUGACGGUAGCAUAUGAAUAAGCACCGGCUAACUCCGUGCCAGCAGCCGCGGUAAUACGGAGGGUGCGAGCGUUACUCGGAAUCACUGGGCGUAAAGGGCGCGUAGGCGGGUUGGAAAGUCAGGUGUGAAAUCCUACAGCUUAACUGUAGAACUGCACUUGAAACUUCUAAUCUAGAGUAUGGGAGGGGGAGAUGGAAUUAGUGGUGUAGGGGUAAAAUCCGUAGAUAUCACUAGGAAUACCUAAAGCGAAGGCGAUCUCCUGGAACAUUACUGACGCUAAGGCGUGAAAGCGUGGGGAGCAAACAGGAUUAGAUACCCGAGUAGUC
Molecule: ribosomal RNA, 439 nt
Filed under: uncultured bacterium
Lineage: Bacteria
Description: partial 16S ribosomal RNA
Rfam family: Bacterial small subunit ribosomal RNA
Source: RNAcentral